GACGAACGCUGGCGGCGUGCUUAACACAUGCAAGUCGAACGGAAAGGCCCUGCUUUUGUGGGGUGCUCGAGUGGCGAACGGGUGAGUAACACGUGAGUAACCUGCCCUUGACUUUGGGAUAACUUCAGGAAACUGGGGCUAAUACCGGAUAGGAGCUCCUGCUGCAUGGUGGGGGUUGGAAAGUUUCGGCGGUUGGGGAUGGACUCGCGGCUUAUCAGCUUGUUGGUGGGGUAGUGGCUUACCAAGGCUUUGACGGGUAGCCGGCCUGAGAGGGUGACCGGCAAAAUGGGGACUGAGAUACGGCACAGACUACUGCGGGAGGCAGCAGUAGGGGAUAAUGCACGAUGGGCGGAAGCCUGAUGCAGCAACGCCGCGUGCGGGAUGACGGCCUUCGUGUUGUAGACCGCUUUCGCCUGUGACGAAGCGUGAGUGACGGUAAUGGGUAAAGAAGCACCGGCUAACUACGUG
RNAcentral lists this ribosomal RNA (468 nucleotides) under uncultured bacterium. RNAcentral's name for it is "partial 16S ribosomal RNA". It matches the Rfam family "Bacterial small subunit ribosomal RNA", at positions 28 to 507 of the family's 1533-position model. The record is from RNAcentral.